This 368-nucleotide ribosomal RNA is filed under the name uncultured organism. RNAcentral's name for it is "bacterial SSU rRNA". It matches the Rfam family "Bacterial small subunit ribosomal RNA", at positions 526 to 896 of the family's 1533-position model. The record is from RNAcentral.
CGUAGGUGGCAAGCGUUGUCCGGAUUUAUUGGGUUUAAAGGGUGCGUAGGCGGUUUUCUAAGUCAGCAGUGAAAUACGGCAGCUCAACUGUCGAGGUGCUGUUGAUACUGGGGAACUUGAGUACUGAUGAGGUAGGCGGAAUGGACGGUGUAGCGGUGAAAUGCUUAGAGAUCGUCCAGAACACCGAUAGCGAAGGCAGCUUACUAAGGAGUAACUGACGCUGAGGCACGAAAGUGUGGGGAUCAAACAGGAUUAGAUACCCUGGUAGUCCACACUGUAAACGAUGAUUACUCGAUGUGUGCGAUACACAGCACGCGUCUUAGCAAAAGCGAUAAGUAAUCCACCUGGGGAGUACGCCGGCAACGGUG